This 264-nucleotide ribosomal RNA is filed under the name uncultured bacterium. Its description in RNAcentral is "partial 16S rRNA". It matches the Rfam family "Bacterial small subunit ribosomal RNA", at positions 1155 to 1417 of the family's 1533-position model. The record is from RNAcentral.
ACGCAAGUAGUGAGGAAGGUGGGGANGANGUCAAGUUAUCAUGGCCCUUACGCNUAGGGNUACACACGUGNUACAAUGGCAUCUACAACGCGNUGCAAUACCGUGAGGUGGAGCGAAUCGCUAAAAAGAUGUCUCAGUUCAGAUCGGAGUNUGCAACUNGACUCCGUGAAGGUGGAAUUGCUAGUAAUCGGGGGUCAGCACACCCCGGUGAAUACGUUUCCCGGGCCUUGUACACACCGCCCGUCACGCCAUGAAAGCCGGGAG